AAGAGAUCGGGAUAACACCUGGAAACAGAUGCUAAUACCGGAUAACAACAGAUGAUGCCUAUCAACUGUUUAAAAGAUGGUUCUGCUAUCACUCUUGGAUGGACCUGCGGUGCAUUAGCUAGUUGGUAGGGUAACGGCCUACCAAGGCGAUGAUGCAUAGCCGAGUUGAGAGACUGAUCGGCCACAUCGGGACUGAGACACGGCCCAAACUCCUACGGGAGGCAGCAGCG
This 230-nucleotide ribosomal RNA is filed under the name uncultured Lactobacillus sp. RNAcentral's name for it is "partial 16S ribosomal RNA". It matches the Rfam family "Bacterial small subunit ribosomal RNA", at positions 132 to 356 of the family's 1533-position model. Lineage: Bacteria; Bacillati; Bacillota; Bacilli; Lactobacillales; Lactobacillaceae. The record is from RNAcentral.